CCUACGGGUGGCAGCAGUGAGGAAUAUUGGUCAAUGGCCGGAAGCCUGAACCAGCCAAGCAGCGUGAAGGACGAAGGUGCUACGCAUUGUAAACUUCUUUUGUCAAGGGACAAAAUCAGGCUCGAGAGCCUGUCCGUGGGUACUUGAAGAAAAAGCAUCGGCUAACUCCGUGCCAGCAGCCGCGGUAAUACGGAGGAUGCGAGCGUUAUCCGGAUUUAUUGGGUUUAAAGGGAGCGUAGGUGGUCUGUUAAGUCAGUGGUAAAAGUGCGGGGCUCAACCCCGGCGUGCCGUUGAAUAUGGCAGUCUUGAGAUGUGGUGAGGUAUGCGGAAUGCGCGGUGUAGCGGUGAAAUGCUUAGAUAUUGCGCAGAACUCCGAUUGCGAAGGCAGCAUAC
This 393-nucleotide ribosomal RNA is filed under the name uncultured bacterium. Its description in RNAcentral is "partial 16S ribosomal RNA". It matches the Rfam family "Bacterial small subunit ribosomal RNA", at positions 338 to 729 of the family's 1533-position model. The record is from RNAcentral.